CUCCUGAUAGCUCAGUGGUAGAGCAUGCGACUGUAGAUCGCGAGGUCGGUGGUUCGACUCCAUCUCAGGAGA
Molecule: transfer RNA, 72 nt
Filed under: Nematocida ausubeli
Lineage: Eukaryota; Fungi; Microsporidia
Description: tRNA-Tyr (GTA) (tRNA-Tyr-GTA-1-1)
Rfam family: tRNA
About the family: Transfer RNA (tRNA) molecules are approximately 80 nucleotides in length. Their secondary structure includes four short double-helical elements and three loops (D, anti-codon, and T loops).
Source: RNAcentral